Long non-coding RNA from Hibiscus syriacus, 336 nucleotides. RefSeq lists it as uncharacterized. The transcript has 3 exons. NCBI's taxonomy places the organism in Eukaryota, Viridiplantae, Streptophyta, Magnoliopsida, Malvales, Malvaceae. The record is from RefSeq and is a predicted model, not a curated record.
CUACCUCCAGAACCUGAUGGUUUCAAUUACGGUCGUGAGGCAGCAAUCAACAUUCCUCUGGAUACAGCUUCAGGAGGAUCAUCUCAGGAUUUGAAAAAGAAAGAGAAUGAACUCCAAGCUAAGGAGGCUGAACUGAAUAGGCGGGAGCAGGAAGUGAGACGAAAAGAAGAGGCAGCAACAAGAGGUACCUUUCAUUAUAAUAUGACUAUUCACAUUGAAAACAUUUAGUUUUGUUCAUUGUUUCAAGUUUUGUUGAACAUAACAUUUUUUUGCAAUUUUUUUUUGACUUGAUUCUUUUUUCUACCGUGAGCUAGAUUUUGACUUCUCCAUUUUGCA